CUGUAGAGCUAAUUAUAGAACAAAUGAGCAGAAGGUUCAAAUGACUCCUAUGGAAAGAAUGGAAUGCAGGAGUCACGUGGUUUAUGUAGCUUUGAAUAGUUCCAACCAGCCCCCCUGCUGCAUUGACUGCUGUUCAUUUUCGGUGUUUCGGAAGAAUUUUCUCUGGUAAGUUGAUGAAAUAUCAUCAUUUUGUUGCAUUGUGAAGCGUUAGCUAACCGCUUUGUACCAAAAUAAGCCAACGAUGAUAUUUUAUGUUGCCAGUUUAAGCUAGAUAACCUUUAAUGAGCUAACUGUGUGCAGCUUGUUGACAAAAAUAUUUUGAGUUGAAUGGAUAACAAUUUUUAAUUUAAUCUAAUGCAAGGUUUAUGAGUAGAAUUUAUUAAUAAAUUUAAGUUCAAGGACGUAGCAUAUUUUGUUUUGCAAUUCAAAAUGUUUGACUUGUGGGAACUUUUUUGGUUUGCAGUGUGGCAACUAAAAUAUUUUGAGUUGAUUGGAUGAGCAAUUUUUAUUUAAUCUAACUCAAGGUUUAUGAGUAGAAUUUAUUAAUAAAUUUAGGUUCAAAGACGUAGCAUAUUUUGUUUUGCAAUUCAAAAUGUUUGAGUUGUGGGAACUUUUUUGGUUUACAGUGUGGCAACUAAAAUAUUUUGAGUUGAUUGGAUGAGCAAUUUUAAUUUAAGAAACUUCAAAUGUAUGAGUAAAAUUUAUUAAGACAUUUUAUUUAUGAAAACUUAAAAUUUUCAGUAUCAAAACUCAAAAAAAUUGAGGCAAUUGAUUGCCUCAAAAUUUUUGAGUUCUGGGAACUUAUUCGGGUUUACAGUGUGGUUGUGAGCAGGAGGACAAGCUGCAGACGUGUUUAUUUCAGUUUGUUUGAUUCUACGUUUUAAAAAUAUUCCCCACAGAUUGAAAUAGGUUAUAAACUUUUUAUAUUAUUAGUUUAAUUUGGGAUUUUUUGUACAAUACGUUGCUGGUUGCUGUAUCAACAUGAACAUGCAUCAGAAAUGGAAGCACAAAUGGAGAGACCAAUAAUAAAGAAAAUGUGAUUGUGAAGACAAGUAAUUUUUUAAUAUUUUUCAGUUAAUAACACUGACUGCAACACACUGCUGAAGCAUGAGACAAACAGGAUUACGAACAUAAGAAGAUAUGUUCUGUUUUGUGGACUCAAGUAAUAAGAAUAUAAUUAAGAUAAUUCAAGAAUAGUAGUCGAACAAUAACUUUUAAAAAUGAGACAUUUUCCAUAAAACUGCUCUUUUCCACUUGCUUUAUAAUAUUAGCAUUUGCAAUUUUGUUAUUAAGGAAUGACAAGAAAUAAGAAUGAACAAUAACAUAAAUAUCAAUAAAUAAAUGUCAUAGAGUAACUAAAACAAAAAUCUUAUGUAACCAUUAAAGCUUAAACUGUGUUGUGUGUCCAUCUUCAUGUUUUCAUAGUGGCUGAGCGGAGAGCUGACCAGGAACAAUGGUGGUGGCAAAACCCAGUUGGGUCUGUGAUGGAGUGAUGCACGCCUGGAGUGAUUGCCAUCUCAUCCACAGUUCUAACAUCAGGCAGAGGGAUACUCAUGUCCUGAAGAAACCUGCAGCCUGUUGAACCCACUGAAAAACAGAGCUGUUUUCCAGCUGGGUUUCCUGGUUGCAUCGCCUGGUCCUUUCUCCUCCUGGCCCUGACGCUGGCUCCUCAUGGCUUCCUGGGAUGUCCCUCUCUCCUGAUACCAUCUCAUGUCCCCCCUCACUUUCCCUCAUCUCAUUUGCCUCACUGCUGCUGCUGCUUUCCUCAUUCUCUGAAAUUAUAAUGGCACUGUUCGAAUAAAGAAUCAUUUUUCAAUAAAAUAAAUACAAAUGUCUAAUAUUUCAAAAGAUUCGUACCACAGUUUACUUGAGUACAACACGUGUGGUCACUGGUCAGUGGAUCAACAUGCAGUGGUUCUGCUGUACUUCUCACUGCGGGGUCCUUCCUCCUCCUUGGUUCAGGGCGAUGAACAAACACAGCAUCAGCCCUGAGUCUCACCUUGCCUUGCCUAGUCUUAGUAAACUGUCCCUCCUCUACAUGUGCCUGUAGAGUGGUGUAUUAGUUUAUUUCCUGCCACAUUUAA
This is a long non-coding RNA of Nothobranchius furzeri (turquoise killifish), 2084 nucleotides long. RefSeq lists it as uncharacterized. NCBI's taxonomy places the organism in Eukaryota, Metazoa, Chordata, Actinopteri, Cyprinodontiformes, Nothobranchiidae. The record is from RefSeq and is a predicted model, not a curated record.